This 73-nucleotide transfer RNA is filed under the name Stegodyphus mimosarum. It matches the Rfam family "tRNA". Rfam says of the family: Transfer RNA (tRNA) molecules are approximately 80 nucleotides in length. Their secondary structure includes four short double-helical elements and three loops (D, anti-codon, and T loops). Lineage: Eukaryota; Metazoa; Arthropoda; Arachnida; Araneae; Eresidae. The record is from Rfam by way of RNAcentral.
GCUUUCGUGGUGUAAUAAGCAGCACGUCCGAUUGGCAAUCGGAAGCAGCAGAAUUCGAGUUCUGCCGAGGGCA